This 342-nucleotide ribosomal RNA is filed under the name Argolebias nigripinnis. RNAcentral's name for it is "partial 12S ribosomal RNA". It matches the Rfam family "Bacterial small subunit ribosomal RNA", at positions 871 to 1386 of the family's 1533-position model. Lineage: Eukaryota; Metazoa; Chordata; Actinopteri; Cyprinodontiformes; Rivulidae. The record is from RNAcentral.
GCCCGAAAACUACAAGCGUAAGCUCAAAACUCAAAGGGUCUGGCGGCACUUUAAACUACCUAGAGGAGCCUGUCCUAUAAUCGAUAACCCCCGUUAAACCUCACCUUCUUUAGCUAUCCGCCUGUAUACCGCCGUCGUCAGCUUACCCCUUAAAGGCCACAUAAGUAAGCAAAACUGAUUAUAUCCAAAACGCCAGGUCGAGGUGCAGCUCAUAAGAAGGAAAGAGAUGGGCUACAUUUCCUAGGAAACACGAAUAAUGCAUUGAAACAUGUAUAUUGAAGGAGGAUUUAGCAGUAAGUAAAAAAUAGAGCGUUUUACUGAAAAAGGCCUUAAAGUGCGUAC